Non-coding RNA from Bombyx mori (domestic silkworm), 84 nucleotides. The record is from Rfam. NCBI's taxonomy places the organism in Eukaryota, Metazoa, Arthropoda, Insecta, Lepidoptera, Bombycidae.
UUAACGCAAAUUUGUAUGGACUUGGAAAGUUUGCCUACGUUUGCCGCUAGGGGCGCUGUUCCAACUGCAUACAAAUCUGCGUUA